UGGAUCCAGACUUUGAUCCUGGCUCAGGAUGAACGCUAGCGGCAGGCUUAACACAUGCAAGUCGAGCGGCAGCGGGGCAGAAGCUUGCUUCUGCCGCCGGCGAGCGGCGCACGGGUGAGUAACACGUAUGCAACCUGCCCCUGUCAGGGGGACAACCCUUCGAAAGAAGGGCUAAACCCGCGUAUAUGCUUCGGAGGCAUCUCCGGGGCAGGAAAGGAGCGAUCCGGACAGGGAUGGGCAUGCGUCGCAUUAGGCAGUAGGCGGGGUAACGGCCCACCUAACCGACGAUGCGUAGGGGUUCUGAGAGGAAGGCCCCCCACACUGGUACUGAGACACGGACCAGACUCCUACGGGAGGCAGCAGUGAGGAAUAUUGGUCAAUGGUCGGGAGACUGAACCAGCCAAGCCGCGUGAGGGAAGAAGGCCCAUAGGGUCGUAAACCUCUUUUGUCAGGGGAUAAGACCGGAGACGAGUCUCCGGGUGAAGGUACCUGAAGAAAAAGCAUCGGCUAACUCCGUGCCAGCAGCCGCGGUAAUACGGAGGAUGCGAGCGUUAUCCGGAUUCAUUGGGUUUAAAGGGUGCGUAGGCCGGACGUUAAGUCAGCGGUGAAAUCCCGGAGCUCAACUCCGGCGAGCCGUUGAAACUGGCGUUCUUGAGUACGUGAAAGGCAUGCGGAAUGCGCGGUGUAGCGGUGAAAUGCAUAGAUAUCGCGCAGAACUCCGAUUGCGAAGGCAGCAUGCCGGUGCGUCACUGACGCUGAGGCACGAAAGCGUGGGGAUCGAACAGGAUUAGAUACCCUGGUAGUCCACGCAGUAAACGAUGAAUACUGGCUGUCCGGGCCGAAUGAGGUCUGGGCGGCGAAGCGAAAGCGAUAAGUAUUCCACCUGGGGAGUACGCCGGCAACGGUGCAACUCAAAUGAAUUGACGGA
This 928-nucleotide ribosomal RNA is filed under the name uncultured Bacteroidota bacterium. RNAcentral describes it as "bacterial SSU rRNA". It matches the Rfam family "Bacterial small subunit ribosomal RNA", at positions 1 to 917 of the family's 1533-position model. Lineage: Bacteria; Pseudomonadati; Bacteroidota. The record is from RNAcentral.